This 195-nucleotide unclassified non-coding RNA is filed under the name uncultured Hypocreales. RNAcentral describes it as "sequence contains ITS2". The record is from RNAcentral. Lineage: Eukaryota; Fungi; Ascomycota; Sordariomycetes; Hypocreales.
CAACCCUCGAGCCCCUUUGGGGGAUCGGUGUUGGGGACCGGGUGCUGCCCGUAGCAAUCUUGUUGCGGGCGGCGGCCGCCCCCUAAAUUCAGUGGCGGUCCCGCCGCAGCCUCUCCGUGCGUAGUAGCAUUUGCUCACGCUUCGCAAGGGAGAGAGCGGCGUGGCUAUGCCGUAAAACAACCCAACUUUCUGAAA